GGAAUCUUGCGCAAUGGGCGAAAGCCUGACGCAGCAACGCCGCGUGGGUGAAGAAGGCCUUCGGGCUGUAAAACCCUUUUCUUGGGGAAGCGGUACCCAGGGAAUAAGCCUCGGCUAAUCACGUGCCAGCAGCCGCGGUGAUACGUGAGAGGCGAGCGUUAUCCGGAUUUACUGGGCGUAAAGGGCGUGUAGGCGGUUGGGCAAGUCCUUUGUGAAAUCUCCGGCUUAACCGGGAGGGGUCAAAGGAAACUACCCAACUUGAGGGUAGCAGGGGGAGAUGGUAUUCUCGGUGGAGCGGUGAAAUGCGUAGAUAUCGAGAGGAACACCAGUGGCGAAGGCGAUCUCCUGGGCUAUACCUGACGCUGAGGCGCGAAAGCGUGGGGAGCAAACAGGAUUAGAUACCCGUGUAGU
RNAcentral lists this ribosomal RNA (411 nucleotides) under uncultured bacterium. RNAcentral's name for it is "bacterial SSU rRNA". It matches the Rfam family "Bacterial small subunit ribosomal RNA", at positions 358 to 794 of the family's 1533-position model. The record is from RNAcentral.